AAACCGAUAAACCCAAAUGGGUUUGUGCUGGGCCUCGCCCGACGGGCGUCGCCUCGAAGCCAUCGGUCUCCAUGAGCGGACGAGAUCCAUUAGGACUGACCGUCUGGAUGACUUGAAUGAUAAUCCG
This 127-nucleotide unclassified non-coding RNA is filed under the name uncultured Archaeorhizomycetaceae. RNAcentral describes it as "sequence contains ITS2". The record is from RNAcentral. Lineage: Eukaryota; Fungi; Ascomycota; Archaeorhizomycetes; Archaeorhizomycetales; Archaeorhizomycetaceae.